RNAcentral lists this unclassified non-coding RNA (441 nucleotides) under Hevea brasiliensis (rubber tree). Lineage: Eukaryota; Viridiplantae; Streptophyta; Magnoliopsida; Malpighiales; Euphorbiaceae. The record is from RNAcentral.
AGGGGAAAAGAAAUAAACUCUCAAAUUUUAUUAGUUCCCAAUUUCCAAUAAUAAUCAUAAUAGACUCUCUAAUAAAAUUCCCAGAUAACAUAGGUAUUCAUACAACAACAACUAAGCCUUAACCCCAAAUUAGUUGAGUUUUGCUAUAUGGAUCCUUUUUUGAAAUUCAGCUUUGUUGGGCACCAAGUCCACAUCAAUACCAGACAUCAGUAUUUAUAGUAUAACAAUAUUAAUCUUACUACUACUACUACUAGGAUUAAGUACCUCAAAAUAAGAAAAUACUAACCAAUCUAAUUAGGAACAUAAAACCAACACUAACUUCCAAAAUAAAAUGCUACUUCCUAAAAUUAGUAGACUUAAAAGACCUAGUAGAAGUUCCUGCAUAAUUAUUCAAUUAGUUACAUGCAAGCAGUGCAGCUGAAGAAAUAGCACCUUAAGGAA